AGUAAUGAAGUAAUAUAUACAUUUAGUUUCGACCUAAUAUAAGAAUAAAAAAUUCCUUACUU
This 62-nucleotide transfer RNA is filed under the name Cicadetta abscondita. RNAcentral describes it as "tRNA-Arg". The record is from RNAcentral. Lineage: Eukaryota; Metazoa; Arthropoda; Insecta; Hemiptera; Cicadidae.